This is a long non-coding RNA of Cyprinus carpio (common carp), 628 nucleotides long. RefSeq lists it as uncharacterized. The record is from RefSeq and is a predicted model, not a curated record. Lineage: Eukaryota; Metazoa; Chordata; Actinopteri; Cypriniformes; Cyprinidae. The transcript is spliced from 3 exons.
AAUGAGAAAAUGGAGAAGAGGUACACUGCGCCUUCUCCAGAACCCAGCUGUGUCUCUUUGAAAAGUAAUGCAUCUAUAGUUAUGCCUCCUAAUAUCAGUGAUGAAGCAGUGAACCUCUGACCCCAGCCUGAAGAAACCCAAAACCACAUCUCCAGAACCAAGCUGUGUGUCUAUGAAGAGUCAAGCAUUCUUACUUAAGCCUUCGGAUCUCAGCUUUGGAGCAGUGACCUCUGACCUGAGUUUCUGCAGACAGUCUAGACCAUCAGAAUACUUCGAAUGCUCUCAGUCCAGAAAGAGAAUCAGAACACAAAGAGUCAUAACAGAAACCAAUUCUGCUCAGACUGGAGACCUGCAUAAACCAGUACAUAAUGAACUACAAAGAGUCAAAGACCAGCACAAAACAAAUAUGAAGAACAAAUAUGAGAGAUUAUUUGAGGGAACCAAGCUUAAACAAAAUCCAACUGCCCUGAACAGGAUCUACACACAGCUUUACAUCAUAGAGGGAGAGAGAGAAGGAAUGAAUGAAGAGCAUGAGGUUUUACAGAUGGAGAAAACAGCCAGAACACAACCCUCACAAGACACUCCAAUCUAUUGCAAUGACAUCUUUAAAGCCUCAGCUGAAGCAGGA